CUGACAUGCGUGCGAGUCGACGGGUUCUGAAACCUGGGAUGCGCAAGGAAGCUGACGAGCGGGAGGCCCUCACGGGCCGCACCGCUGGCCGACCCUGAUCUUCUGUGAAGGGUUCGAGUUGGAGCACGCCUGUCGGGACCCGAAAGAUGGUGAACUAUGCCUGAGCGGGGUGAAGCCAGAGGAAACUCUGGUGGAGGCUCGAAGCGAUACUGACGUGCAAAUCGUUCGUCUGACUUGGGUAUAGGGGCGAAAGACUAAUCGAACCAUCUAGUAGCUGG
This 278-nucleotide ribosomal RNA is filed under the name Triticum aestivum (bread wheat). RNAcentral describes it as "rRNA LSU_rRNA_eukarya". It matches the Rfam family "Eukaryotic large subunit ribosomal RNA", at positions 675 to 954 of the family's 3401-position model. Lineage: Eukaryota; Viridiplantae; Streptophyta; Magnoliopsida; Poales; Poaceae. The record is from Rfam by way of RNAcentral.